RNAcentral lists this ribosomal RNA (500 nucleotides) under Salmonella enterica. Its description in RNAcentral is "partial 23S ribosomal RNA". The record is from RNAcentral. Lineage: Bacteria; Pseudomonadati; Pseudomonadota; Gammaproteobacteria; Enterobacterales; Enterobacteriaceae.
AGAAUGUUAUCACGGGAGACACACGGCGGGUGCUAACGUCCGUCGUGAAGAGGGAAACAACCCAGACCGCCAGCUAAGGUCCCAAAGUCAUGGUUAAGUGGGAAACGAUGUGGGAAGGCCCAGACAGCCAGGAUGUUGGCUUAGAAGCAGCCAUCAUUUAAAGAAAGCGUAAUAGCUCACUGGUCGAGUCGGCCUGCGCGGAAGAUGUAACGGGGCUAAACCAUGCACCGAAGCUGCGGCAGCGACACUAKGUGUUGUUGGGUAGGGGAGCGUUCUGUAAGCCUGYGAAGGUGGCCUGUGAGGGUUGCUGGAGGUAUCAGAAGUGCGAAUGCUGACAUAAGUAACGAUAAAGCGGGUGAAAAGCCCGCUCGCCGGAAGACCAAGGGUUCCUGUCCAACGUUAAUCGGGGCAGGGUGAGUCGACCCCUAAGGCGAGGCCGAAAGGCGUAGUCGAUGGGAAACGGGUUAAUAUUCCCGUACUUGGUGUUACUGCGAAGGGGG